UCGAGAACAUAAGUGUCAUUUGAAGGAGGUACAAAGAAACUUCAACAAUAGUUCAUGGUAGUUAUCGACUGUCCUUCACUAAUUGUGGAGCGUACCUGCAACGAUAGUCCAAUAUUCAAGCCAAUGAGGUCUCAACGUGCUUUGUAGAGAUUUCUCAAAAUUAGAGUGUGUACCUCAUUAUGAUGUGAUGUGAAACUCUUGAUAUAUAAACCUCUGGAUAAAACAAGUCGAUUAUACCCUUAUGGCUCUAUCGUCAAAUGACCGAUUGAUCAGAUCUUAACGUGUUUUCUUGUAUAUCACGACUCAUUAAGAGUUCAUGUGGUACACAACUUUAUAUGGGUGCCUUGAUGGGCCUAAGUUGGUAAAAUAGACUUUAGGUUAUGAUAAUUGAGCCUUGGAUUGGUUCGUAAUAGUAGCCUUCUAAGUAGUUGUCUUUUUUCUUGAGGCGAGGAAUUUUAAGUAUUAAUAGAUUUAUCCUCUCUUGACACUUGGAGGAUUCAAACAAAGUACUUACUGAUGGCAUAUGGUUUGACUUUUUGUUUUAAUAGACACUUUAGGUUAUGUGCAUGAUGACUGAACUUGUCAGUCGCAAUGAAGGUGAGAAAAACACAAGAAGAGGGGUUGAAUUGUGUUGGCUUUAUAUAGAAACUUCUCUAAGUCUUUCAGAACUGGUUAGAGUCUGAUGGGUUCAGAGUCUGACUUUGAGUCUGUAUGCAGCGAAAAUAUCAAACACAAAGAUAAGAGAGAGAGAGAGAGAGCAGACCCAAAGUAGUUUAUACUGGUUCCUUGCACAAAACAGGAGUAGUCAAGUCCCUUGCAUUUCCAAGAGAUAUCACUAUAAUCUCACUAGACUACAAAUGCUUAAGGACACUCUUAAGAGACUUUCAAAUGCUCAAGUACACUGGCUGACCUUUCAUCAGAUCUUCUACCAUAGUCUUUGAGCUUCUUAGUAGCAUCCUUUCUUAUGUUUCAAGGUGUUCCUUACCAUAAUAUCAUCAAUG
Molecule: long non-coding RNA, 1001 nt
Filed under: Medicago truncatula (barrel medic)
Lineage: Eukaryota; Viridiplantae; Streptophyta; Magnoliopsida; Fabales; Fabaceae
Description: long non-coding RNA (MTRU_LNC004987)
Source: RNAcentral